UCAAACUUGGUCAUUUAGAGGAAGUAAAAGUCGUAACAAGGUUUCCGUAGGUGAACCUGCGGAAGGAUCAUCACUGAUUCGGGGGAGAGAGUGUGUGUACGUGUGUGUUCAUGCAUGCACGUGCGCCACGCCACCCCAAACAAUCUUUUGUGCACGGUUUUCACGGUCAACGAGACGCCGCGCGUGUGUUGGCAAGUAGUCAGUUCUCUCUCUCCCCACAAUGCGUAGGGGGGAGGGGUGACUCUUGCCAACCGCACGCGUCCGUGCGUUCUCUUAUUACAAUCUCUUGUGGAAUCUCUGUCUAACGUGCGUUAUUUAAACACUAACACAAUACAACUUUCAACAAUGGAUCUCUUGGCUCUCGCAUCGAUGAAGAACGCAGC
RNAcentral lists this unclassified non-coding RNA (383 nucleotides) under uncultured fungus. RNAcentral describes it as "partial contains small subunit ribosomal RNA, internal transcribed spacer 1, and 5.8S ribosomal RNA". The stretch from base 1 to 73 matches the Rfam family "Eukaryotic small subunit ribosomal RNA", at positions 1759 to 1831 of the family's 1831-position model. The record is from RNAcentral. Lineage: Eukaryota; Fungi.